CUUUAGCGUAUGACUGUUAAUCAUAAGGUUAGGAGUUCAAGUCUCCUC
This 48-nucleotide transfer RNA is filed under the name Cryptomonas paramaecium. RNAcentral's name for it is "Cryptomonas paramecium partial tRNA". It matches the Rfam family "tRNA", at positions 18 to 64 of the family's 71-position model. Rfam says of the family: Transfer RNA (tRNA) molecules are approximately 80 nucleotides in length. Their secondary structure includes four short double-helical elements and three loops (D, anti-codon, and T loops). Lineage: Eukaryota; Cryptophyceae; Cryptomonadales; Cryptomonadaceae. The record is from RNAcentral.